RNAcentral lists this long non-coding RNA (215 nucleotides) under Nicotiana benthamiana. RNAcentral's name for it is "long non-coding RNA (NBEN_LNC003413)". Lineage: Eukaryota; Viridiplantae; Streptophyta; Magnoliopsida; Solanales; Solanaceae. The record is from RNAcentral.
GAUUGAUCAAGACGGAAUCUGUCAACUCUUGGUAAUGAGUUUAAGCUCCAUGUUGUCAUGAAUUAUAAACGACCAAACUAAGACCUUGGCCAGGGCAAUAGAAUGAAAGAAGAAAUGAGUUUCUUAGGUCAUUCAAUGGUCGAUUAUAUUUGACGUGAACACAUAGUUGAUCGCCUAUUAGGAUUGGACAUUUGAACCAUAUCCUAGGGUGAUCC